This 68-nucleotide transfer RNA is filed under the name Urolophus viridis (greenback stingaree). RNAcentral describes it as "tRNA-Ser". Lineage: Eukaryota; Metazoa; Chordata; Chondrichthyes; Myliobatiformes; Urolophidae. The record is from RNAcentral.
AAGAGAGGUCCGGGACAAGGAAAACUGCUAAUUUCUCCUCCCCGCGGUUCGACUCCCCGGCUCCCUUA